Molecule: ribosomal RNA, 497 nt
Filed under: uncultured bacterium
Lineage: Bacteria
Description: partial 16S ribosomal RNA
Rfam family: Bacterial small subunit ribosomal RNA
Source: RNAcentral
GAUGAACGCUGGCGGCGUGCCUAAUACAUGCAAGUCGAGCGAACAGACGAGGCGCUUGUUCCUCUGUCGUUAGCGGCGGAGGGGUGAGUAACACGUGGAUAACCUACCUAUAAGACUGGGAUAACUUCGAAAAACCGGCUAAAAUCCCGGAGAAUCUAUUGAUCCGCAUGGGUCAAUGGUAAGAGUCGGCUUUGCUGUCUCUUCUAGCUGGAUCCGCGCCGCUUUAGCUAGUUGGUAAGGUACCGGAUUAUCAAGGCGACGAUGCGUAGCCGAACGGCCUGGCUGAUAGGCCACACUGGAACGGAGACACGGUCCAGAGUCCUAAGGGAGGGAGCAGUAGGGAACGGUCAGCAAUAGUCGAAAGCCUGGCAGAGCAACGCCGAGUCAGUGAUGACGGUCUUCGGAGCGUAAAGAUCGGUUAUUAGUGAAGAACAAAUUUGGAAGGAACCAUGCACGUCGUGACGGUACUUGAUCAGAAAGCAACGGCUAACUACGUG